Acinonyx jubatus (cheetah) is the source of this 2330-nucleotide long non-coding RNA. RefSeq lists it as uncharacterized. The transcript is spliced from 3 exons. NCBI's taxonomy places the organism in Eukaryota, Metazoa, Chordata, Mammalia, Carnivora, Felidae. The record is from RefSeq and is a predicted model, not a curated record.
CAACCAGUAUCACUUGCCAUGAAUGGAAGUUUGCCGUGACCUGAAGGAUGCACAGACUCAAAAAGGAAAGCCUGGCCUCUCUAGUGGAUCGAGUUCCAGCCCCACCCCCUCCCCACCGCCACCGAUCCACAGUGGACACGUAGCACGGGCUUUCCCCAGACUGGAGUUCCCGAGGCCAUCCUUGGACAAAGUCUCCAUGAUCUCCUGGGAGAGUCCUUCCUCCAAGAAGUCUUGUGCCAGAGGGCGGUUCUUGACUUCGGCCAUGUCCGAAAGAGGGUAAGUGCAGGUGUCUCCCGCUCCCCGCGGCGAAACAUAAGGAGCUGCAGGGUGAGAACACAGACAAGAGGGAGAACGGGUGACGGCUCCCCAGGAAGCCUGUCCCUCGAGGGGAUGAUGAAGGCGAAGGGGCCAAAGUGGCGACCCAGCUGGAACUGGCAGCACAGGAAACAGAGAGCCCAUUUCCAAGAUGGUUAAGUGGGGAGCUGGGCAGCCGCGGGGGCUCCACAGGGAAGGGGAGCCUCUUAGCAGAUGCCGUUGCCCCCAUCGGCCAUGGCCCACUUCUUGGAGAAGGGCGCUGCUCAACGGGGAAGAAGGUAGAAAUGAUAUAACUGCUGGAGGACAGAUUUGGUUGGUAAAGGCGUGGCUACGCGGUUCUGGGAAGAGCAUGUAUUUCUUUUUUUAGUAUUUAUUUAUUUAUUUAUUUUGAGAGAGAGAAAGCGUGAGUGAGCAGGGGAGCGACAGAGAGAGAGAAUCCCAAGCAGGCUCCACGCUAUCAGCACUGAGCCCAGUGUGGGGCUUGAACUCACAAACCGUGAGAUCAUGACCUGAGCCGAAACCCAGAGCUGACGCUUAACCGACUGAGCCACCCGGGCGCCCCCACAUGUUGUAGAGGUGGCAGGGGUCCGUGCUGGUCACCUGCGCGCAAACACUGGUGUGCUCGUCAGGAGGCCACGGAGGGUCCGCAUUUGCGAGCUCACGAGAGGUGAGCUGCAUCCUGACUGGGUGGUGGAGGCCCGGACUGAGCCACGCAGCCACCACGCUGUGGUCUCUGACUCAGGGGCCCUUCUCAUGUUAAUGACCUGACCGUGAGGAAAGUGUCCCGCGCCCCAGGGAAGGCCCCUGCCUCUGCCUUUUCCCACUGGGGACACGUCAACCAGCGUGACACCCUCGCUGCCUAGCCUGUUCCCUCUAAAGGAACUGUGGCCUAGGAGAGAACGGAACAAAUGCUCUUGGCUGCAUUAAGGCCUGGGCUUGAGUCAUUAGCAGAUGUGGCCAUCUGCUGUGCCCUCCGGGACAGACUUGUACAAACACAGGGUGAAACAGACUGGGGAUGUAUGGUGCUCAAAGGGCACAGGACAUGAAGGUGGAGAGACUGACUCAGGGCACCAGGACAGCCACAUGCUGAACACUGAGGUAGACAAGACGAGGGCCCCAGCCCUGCCGGGACGAGGGGACAGAAGCCAGCACGUGGCAGAGGGGCAAGAUGUCUAGGCAGACGUUUGGGGUCCGGAUGGAAGUUCCAAAGACGGAGGGCAGACAAAGGGCCCUGUCCCACCGGCCCCCGCCCCGCCCACUCACCAAGGCCCUCUGAUUCUGGGCUUUCUCUGACCACGGCCUCCAGCUCUUCGCCACCAUCUGGACAGGAGGUCAGUUUGGGUUUGCAGGGGUCUGCAGGGAGAGAAGAGCGCUGUCAUCAACCAGGACACGGCAGGCCAGCCGACUGCUUAGCGGGAACCUUCUGGCUGUCCUGACCAUCAGUGCUGUGUCCAGUGUACAGCUCGUGAGAGCCAAAUGCCGCUCUGGGCGACUCCGGGGACACCUGCCCCGUAGGGUUCCCAGUCCGGUGGAGGAGAGAGACCCAGACAGUCACAGUCCAGGGUGAUCAGAGCUGUGAAAGCCAGGGCCGGGGAUACAAAGGACUUGCAACAGCUCUUGAGGGAUGAGCAGCCUGCCAGGUGGAGAGGCACGCACCCCCUCAUCCACCCACGGAGCCCACAUCACCCAAGGCCUCUGUGGAAUAUGCUGGGUUCCCAGAGCCCAGGCGGUCCUGUGCCCUGCCCUCGGCAAACUACUCGAGGAAGGAAGCAGAAUCCUAAUCCCGGGGAACUGUGCUACCGUGGAGGAAAAGCGCCUUCUUGGCUUGAAAAUGGAAGGGCCACGAGCCAAGCAAUGCAGGCGCCUCUAGAAGCCAGAAAAGGGCAAAGGCAUAAGACUCUUCCCCGGAGCUUCCAGAGGGAACAAGCCCUUCCAACAGCCUGACUGCAGCCGGGUCAGACCCGUUUCAGACUUCUGACCUCCACAACCGUCGGAGAAUAAAUGCGUUGUUUUAA